RNAcentral lists this ribosomal RNA (470 nucleotides) under uncultured Oomycota. Its description in RNAcentral is "LSU rRNA". It matches the Rfam family "Eukaryotic large subunit ribosomal RNA", at positions 326 to 630 of the family's 3401-position model. The record is from RNAcentral. Lineage: Eukaryota; Oomycota.
GCGCGAGACCGAUAGCGAACAAGUACCGUUGAGGGAAAGAUGAAAAGAACUUUGAAAAGAGAGUUAAAGAGUACCUGAAACUGCUGAAAGGGAAGCGAAUCGUAUCCAGUGUCUAUAAUCUGCGGCAUAUUUCAUUGGCGGCGGUGCGCGUGCUUUUGCGUCGGAAGCGGCUUUUGUUGCUCUGUGCUUUUGCUGUGCGUGGUGUUGCUGGUGCCCUGUGUUGCGGUGGGACGUCAGAGUCAGUUUGUAUGCUGCGGGAAAUGGCUGCCGAGGAGGUAGGUCGAGAUUUCGGUCUUGGCUGUUAUAUCUUGGUGGUUUGUUGUCGUGGUUGAGACUGAGGUGCCUACAAUGUGCUUUUGAGUGUACCGGGUUCUCAUUUGGUGGACUGUUUGGAUAGCUUGCUAUGCUUGUGGUUUUUUCAUCGGGUGAUUGAGUCCUGGUGGUAACUUGUUGCUGUUCGGGACUUUGAA